UAUUCGUGGUUCCUAGAUCGUCGAUUCUCAGUCAGAGGGCAUCAUAAAUUCCUAAUUAACGAGAAACGAAAUAAAUAUUACGUUCAAAUUCGCGUUUAUGUAGGUAGUUUCAAAAUUAUUUAAAUAGAAGUAUAAAACAAAAUUGCAGACUAUAAUAGUUAGGUUAGAAUAUGCCGAAUUUUGAAGUUUGUGUAUAGGUUAAAUGAACUUGUGUUUCCAUAAGAUUUAACAUGUUUCGACCGGCGAGAAACAUAUUAUCGACUUUAAAUCGCGUCAAAGAAUAUCGUGCAGUGCACACUACUUGUCAAAAUUUAUCAGAAGUCACAGAAUAUGAAUCUGCUAUUACUGACGAGUACAAAAGAGGACCUGUAGAAGGUAGAUCUCUUUAUUUGGAUGUUCAAGCGACUACACCAAUGGAUCCACGAGUACUGGAUAAAAUGAUGCCUUAUUUUACAUCAAAUUAUGGAAAUCCGCAUUCCAGAACUCAUAUGUAUGGAUGGGAAACAGAAGCAGCUGUUGAAACCGCUCGUAGUCAAAUAGCAAAUUUAAUAGGCGCUGAUAAGAAGGAAAUUAUAUUUACUUCUGGUGCAACAGAAUGUAAUAACAUAGCUGUAAAAGGUGUAGCAAGGUUUUACAAAGAAAGAAAGAAUCAUAUUGUGACAACACAGACAGAGCACAAAUGUGUAUUAGAUUCUUGUAGAGCCCUGCAAGCAGAAGGAUUUAAGGUGACUUAUAUUCCAGUGAAAUCAAAUGGUCUAAUUGAUCUCAAUGAGUUAGAAGAUGCAAUUACACCCAAUACAUCCCUUGUUUCUGUAAUGAUGGUAAAUAAUGAAAUUGGUGUGAAACAGCCAAUUGCAGAGAUUGGUGCUAUAUGCAGGAAGAAAAAGGUAUUUUUUCAUACAGAUGCAGCUCAAGCUGUUGGAAAAGUUGAAAUCGAUGUUAAUGCUAUGAAUGUUGAUUUACUAUCUAUUAGUGGUCAUAAAAUAUAUGGUCCGAAAGGAAUUGGAGCUUUGUAUGUGAGAAGAAGACCUAGAGUGCGUAUCGAAGCAAUUCAGAGUGGAGGUGGUCAAGAACGAGGUAUGAGAAGUGGUACUGUUCCAGCACCUUUGGUGGUAGGCCUUGGAGCAGCUUGCGAGUUGGCACAAACAGAAAUGGAGUAUGAUCACAAGUACAUCACAAAGCUGUCGAAUCAUUUCAUAGAAAAAGUAAUGUCAAAUCUACCACAUGUCAUACGCAAUGGAGAUACUGUGGCCUGGUACCCUGGAUGUGUGAAUUUGUCUUUUGCAUAUGUAGAAGGUGAAUCUUUGUUAAUGGCACUAAAAGAUGUUGCUUUGAGUAGUGGUUCCGCUUGCACUAGUGCAAGUUUAGAACCUAGUUAUGUAUUGAGAGCAAUUGGGGCAUCAGAAGAUUUGGCACAUUCCAGUAUUAGGUUUGGUAUUGGACGUUUCACAACACUUGAGGAAAUUGAAUUCACAGCUCGAAACACGAUUCAGCAUGUUAAGAGACUUCGGGCAAUGAGCCCAUUAUGGGAAAUGGUUGAAGAGGGAAUCGAUCUGAAGACUAUCAAAUGGACUCAGCAUUAGUGGCUUUCGACUGUAUAGCCUUUGCUAUCUAAUAAUAUAGAUAGCAUGGAUUAAGUGUACAAUGAUAUUGACCCAUAUGUUACAAUAUCCAGUAAAUGCUGAGAUAGAAGGUGGAAAGACGUUGAAUUGUCUAAUGCAAACACUAAGAUAGCAGCUUCUGCAAACUUGUAAUAACUCGAUGUCACUGAUGCAACUCUUUCCAUACCCCCUGUAUC
RNA transcript from Hylaeus volcanicus, 1798 nucleotides. It is a transcript of the gene named cysteine desulfurase, with no coding region annotated. Lineage: Eukaryota; Metazoa; Arthropoda; Insecta; Hymenoptera; Colletidae. The transcript is spliced from 11 exons. The record is from RefSeq and is a predicted model, not a curated record.